UUAUGACCAUAUCACUUUGAAACAUCGGUUCCGAUACGAUCACCGAAGUUAGCAACGUCGAGGCUGGUCAUUACUUAGAUGGGUGACCGCUUGGGAAUAACAGGUGCUAUA
This is a non-coding RNA of Acanthosepion pharaonis, 111 nucleotides long. The record is from the annotation of a GenBank genome assembly. NCBI's taxonomy places the organism in Eukaryota, Metazoa, Mollusca, Cephalopoda, Sepiida, Sepiidae.